GAUGAACGCUGGCGGCGUGCUUAACACAUGCAAGUCGAACGGAAAGGCCCAAGCUUGCUUGGGUACUCGAGUGGCGAACGGGUGAGUAACACGUGGGUGAUCUGCCCUGCACUUCGGGAUAAGCCUGGGAAACUGGGUCUAAUACCGGAUAGGACGAUGGUUUGGAUGCCAUUGUGGAAAGUUUUUUCGGUGUGGGAUGAGCUCGCGGCCUAUCAGCUUGUUGGUGGGGUAAUGGCCUAGCAAGGCGUUGACGGGUAGCCGGCCUGAGAGGGUGUACGGCCACAUUGGGACUGAGAUACGGCCCAGACUCCUACGGGAGGCAGCAGUGGGGAAUAUUGCACAAUGGGCGCAAGCCUGAUGCAGCGACGCCGCGUGGGGGAUGACGGCCUUCGGGUUGUAAACUCCUUUCGCUAGGGACGAAGCGUUUUUGUGACGGUACCUGGAGAAGAAGCACCGGCUAACUACGUG
This 468-nucleotide ribosomal RNA is filed under the name uncultured bacterium. RNAcentral's name for it is "partial 16S ribosomal RNA". It matches the Rfam family "Bacterial small subunit ribosomal RNA", at positions 28 to 507 of the family's 1533-position model. The record is from RNAcentral.